UUAAAUUGAAGAGUUUGAUCAUGGCUCAGAUUGAACGCUGGCGGCAGGCCUAACACAUGCAAGUCGAACGGUAACAGGAAGAAGCUUGCUUCUUUGCUGACGAGUGGCGGACGGGUGAGUAAUGUCUGGGAAACUGCCUGAUGGAGGGGGAUAACUA
RNAcentral lists this ribosomal RNA (157 nucleotides) under Escherichia coli. Its description in RNAcentral is "partial 16S ribosomal RNA". It matches the Rfam family "Bacterial small subunit ribosomal RNA", at positions 1 to 149 of the family's 1533-position model. Lineage: Bacteria; Pseudomonadati; Pseudomonadota; Gammaproteobacteria; Enterobacterales; Enterobacteriaceae. The record is from RNAcentral.